Heterocephalus glaber (naked mole-rat) is the source of this 511-nucleotide long non-coding RNA. NCBI's taxonomy places the organism in Eukaryota, Metazoa, Chordata, Mammalia, Rodentia, Bathyergidae. The record is from Ensembl.
GAGCAGAGUGAGAGAUUGCCUUGUCUUCUGCUGCUCCCACAGUAUAAUCAAGGAAUCAAGCUAAAUUAAUGGAAAUGCCAUCUUCCUGUGACAGCAGGAAUUUUCCAAAAUGUAUGAAAGAUGUCAACCCAGGUAGUGGCUACAGAGUGUGAUGUGAUAAUGGUGAUGACUGAGGUGCAUCUAUUGCAUGAAGAAGCAAAGACGGAAGCAGAGUCCUUAAAGGAAUGAGGAAACACAUACUACGUGUGCACCUCUGAUCCUGCUGGGAUGAAACCUGAAGUUUGGUCCAUAAUCACAAGGAACAAAAUCAUCUCACACCUGGGGUCUUGGAAACAAUGACUCUGUAAGGCUUUUGCAUAUAGCUUGGCCCAGAUCAUAGGCACAAUUAUCAUUUUCAAUUACUCCAUCAGCCAAGCAUCCUUGGGCAGUGAACAAAUUGAACAACCAUACUGGGUGGAAGCAUUUUACUCUCUCCAGAGUCUUUUCUUGCUGAUGCUCUUGCUGUGUGCAC